Molecule: non-coding RNA, 136 nt
Organism: Brachypodium distachyon (stiff brome)
Lineage: Eukaryota; Viridiplantae; Streptophyta; Magnoliopsida; Poales; Poaceae
Source: Rfam
UUUUUACUUCCUCCAUCCAGCAAAACAUGUCUCAAGUUUGACAAAAUUUAGAUGUAUCUAAACAUAAGUUAGUAUAUAUAUGCAUUCAAAUUUAGUUAAAAUUGAGACAUCUUUUAUUGGACGGAGGGAGUAUGAA